GUUCGUGGCUCAGUGGUAGAGCAUUUGCUUUGUGUGCAAAAGUCCCCAGGUUCAAUCCCUGGCAUCUCCA
This is a non-coding RNA of Euleptes europaea (tarantolino), 70 nucleotides long. NCBI's taxonomy places the organism in Eukaryota, Metazoa, Chordata, Lepidosauria, Squamata, Sphaerodactylidae. The record is from the annotation of a RefSeq genome assembly.